RNAcentral lists this ribosomal RNA (1127 nucleotides) under Phyllopsora sp. JR09A37. RNAcentral's name for it is "SSU rRNA". It matches the Rfam family "Eukaryotic small subunit ribosomal RNA", at positions 127 to 1280 of the family's 1831-position model. Lineage: Eukaryota; Fungi; Ascomycota; Lecanoromycetes; Lecanorales; Ramalinaceae. The record is from RNAcentral.
GUCCCUUACUACUUGGAUACCUGUGGUAAUUCUAGAGCUAAUACAUGCUAAAAACCCCGACUCCGGAAGGGGUGUAUUUAUUAGAUAAAAAACCAAUGCCCUUCGGCUCUAUGGUGACUCAUAAUAACUUUACGAAUCGCAUGGCCUUGCGCCGGCGAUGGUUCAUUCAAAUUUCUGCCCUAUCAACUUUCGAUGUUUGGGUAGUGGCCAAACAUGGUGACAACGGGUGACGGGGAAUUAGGGUUCGAUUCCGGAGAGGGAGCCUGAGAAACGGCUACCACAUCCAAGGAAGGCAGCAGGCGCGCAAAUUACCCAAUCCCGACUCGGGGAGGUAGUGACAAUAAAUACUGAUGUUGGGAUCAUUUGGUUCUAGCAAUUGGAAUGAGUACAAUUUAAAUCCCUUAACGAGGAACCAUUGGAGGGCAAGUCUGUGCCAGCCGCGUAAUCAGCUCAAUAGCGUAUAUUAAAGUGUGCAGUAAAAAGCUCGUAGUGAAACUUGGGUCUGGCUGGCCGGUCCGCCUCACCGCGUGCACUGGUUCGGCCGGGCCUUUCCUUCUGGGGAACCGUCUUAAUUGGGUGUGGCGGGGAUCCAGGACUUUUACUUUGAAAAAAUUAGAGUGUUCAAAGCAGGCCUAUGCUUGAAUACAUUAGCACGGAAUAAUAGAAUAGGACGUGUGGUUCUAUUUUGUUGGUUUUUAGGACCGCCGUAAUGAUUAAUAGGGACAGUCGGGGGCGUCUGUAUUCAAUUGUCAGAGGUGAAAUUUUUGGAUUUAUUGAAGACAAAAUAUUGCGAAAGCAUUCGCCAAGGAUGUUUUCAUUAAUCAGUGAACGAAAGUUAGGGGAUCGAAGACGAUCAGAUACCGUCGUAGUCUUAACCAUAAACUAUGCCGACUAGGGAUCGGACGGUGUUAUUAUUAUGACCCGUUCGGCACCUUACGAGAAAUCAAAGUUUUUGGGUUCUGGGGGGAGUAUGGUCGCAAGGCUGAAACUUAAAGAUAUUGACGGAAGGGCACCACCAGGCGUGGAGCCUGCGGCUUAAUUUGACUCAACACGGGAAAACUCACCGGGUCCGGACACAAUAAGGAUUGACAGAUUGAGAGCUCUUUCUUGAUCUUAUGGUGUGGAGG